GGACAUGAGAGAUGGCUGCCAUCCCCUUUGUGGAAUAACUAUUUUGCUCAAAGGGUUCCACGAGACACAAGAGCACAUGUAUUAAAUUCGCCCAACCUCCGUAGUGUGUUUAAUCCAAACGUAAUUAAACAUUAAAAGAAAUAGUUGCUUCUGAGUGUGAGAAUCUUGAACCUUUCAAAUCUCAUCUUUGCCCCACAAUUACAACGAUUUAAACCAAACACCAGCUCAAAAGACGUUUAAAAAAGAAAACAUUUACAAAAGAAAACCAACCACAUCCUGCGCUGGUUCCACUUACAAUAUCACAGAGGUUGCAAGACCCGGCAGAUCAGAUUGAGGAGAGACUCAUCACAAUGACAAAGUGAAACGUGGGCCAGCUUCCCGGCCAUCAAAGCAAGUUCGGAGCUGCCUUUUGAAAAACACUGGGGCAACAGCUAAUGUGUCUCAUUGAAACGCUCGACUGGCUGUCAAUGGCCACAUUUCCCCACGUUAAAAGACAUCGGGCUUAGUGGAGGUGAGACUGGCACUUUUACUGGCGCCUGGCCUCACCUGGCUGCAUAACUUCACCAGCGGCAGGCCCAAAGUCUCCAGACACUCCUACUGUAUACAGGACUGUGCUGGCCCUUGGAAACCCACAGAGAGAGGCAGCGCGGUGGGCCACAGACUCUGGGCAGCUCUUGGCUGAAUUAUACAGCUUGGUGAGAUCCACUGAGGGUGACUUCACUUGCUGAAAGCCAAAACACGCUAAUAAGGUUGUGUUUCUGUGUGCUGAGACGGGCUGAGGUCUGUCCUGAAAGCCCUUUAAAGUUCAGGAAAUUCUGAACUCAUGUUCUUAUUGUUGGGCAAAAUAUUUUGUAUUAGGUUUUUAUCUCAUGAUUUGUUGGACUAAAUAAUCACUGUAGAUGGGAUGUAGUUCAGUACAAUUAUUCUUGUGUGGGUCCAUUAGAAACAAAAUACUUUUACAGGCCUUAAGAAUACAACUUGCAUUUGUUUUCAUUAUCAUAAUAAUAAUCUUUACUAUCUUGAAUUAUUCUGGUUUCCCCCAAAAAAAGCCCCCCCACACUUCAUCAGAACUGUAUCUGAGAUGCAAACGUCCAACCUUCCGGGAAAUAUUUGAAUUGGUGUUUUUAUAUUUAACUUGCUGCAAAUGGGGCAUUGAAAUUAAAUGAUGUCUUAAUGUUGAAGCCAGAACAACUUAGAAUGUUGGCAAUUAGCUAUUGGCAUGGAAGGAGGGAAAAUGCUGGGAGAUGUAAACAAAAUGGAAUAUGCUUUUAAAAAGAGAUGCUAAUCUUCACAAUUAGCAUCAUUUGCUGGUUUCCUCCACAUAAGGCAUUUUCCACACUUCUUGCGGAUUUAGGCAGAAUCCAGAUGGGUUGAAUAUUGACCGAAAUGAAAC
This is a long non-coding RNA of Gasterosteus aculeatus aculeatus (three-spined stickleback), 1393 nucleotides long. The record is from Ensembl. NCBI's taxonomy places the organism in Eukaryota, Metazoa, Chordata, Actinopteri, Perciformes, Gasterosteidae.